Manihot esculenta (cassava) is the source of this 475-nucleotide long non-coding RNA. RefSeq lists it as uncharacterized. The transcript is spliced from 2 exons. Lineage: Eukaryota; Viridiplantae; Streptophyta; Magnoliopsida; Malpighiales; Euphorbiaceae. The record is from RefSeq and is a predicted model, not a curated record.
CAUUACAAUUUUUUUUUGGCUGCUACUACUGCUUUAACUCGAGGGCUCAGUCCUAAAAUUGAGUUGAGAACUAAAACUAAUUGGUUCCAUACUACAAUGCCUAAGAAUCUUUAUCUAUUUUUAUUUUUGUGCUCAAUGACCUUUCAAAAUGCUAUCAUUUCUCUUGUAGGUACUUGCAAGGAUAUGACUACAACUUCACCUUUCUAACCAUAAAGGGCGCAGGAUAUAUACAGUCCCAGAAUACAAGGUAAGAGAAUCACUAGACUUCUACAGCUGUUGGUUGGAUGAAAUGUCACUAAAAUCAUUUGAGUUAUUUAUAUGGUGCAUUUUGCGAUACAUUUGUGUGGUGUUAUGAAUGUGAAACACAUUGUUUCUUACUGUUUGAGAUGUUAGUUAAGUUAGGCAAGAAAAGUUGUUUUGGUUGUUUCUUUUCUCCUUUCAGCAGUAUAUAAUGAGACAUUUUAUGUUUUUACCA